Carica papaya (papaya) is the source of this 1142-nucleotide non-coding RNA. Lineage: Eukaryota; Viridiplantae; Streptophyta; Magnoliopsida; Brassicales; Caricaceae. The record is from RefSeq and is a predicted model, not a curated record.
CUCUCCGCGUAAAGUCUCACCAGUCCCUCCUGGUUCUCAUUUCGCUCUUUCUAGAACUCUCACCAUCUCUCUUGAACUUCAUUUUCUCGUUUUCAUUUCUUUUUAUUUUUGUUAUUGUCAAGAACUGGCUAACCCGCAGGAAAAAAUUCUGGAGGAAACCGAAUCCAAGAACCAAGUGGUGGUUCUUGCCCUCUAUGAGGCCUUAAGAUCUCGAGACGUGGACACAGUACACCAGAUCCUAGCUCCAGAUCUCGAGUGGUGGUUCCAUGGCCCGCCUUCUCACCAGUUUAUGAUGCGCCUACUGACCGGAGUGGCCGCCACGUCAGCAUCCGACUCCUUCGAAUUCGUCCCUCUCUCAGUCACCUCCUUCGGCUCCACUGUCAUCGUCGAAGGCUGCGAUCACGCGCGCGCAAUCUCCUGGGUUCACGCCUGGACCGUGACCAAUGGGAUAAUUACACAGGUGAGGGAAUACUUCAAUACUUCUCUUACUGUCACCCGCCUAGGUAACAGCCAGUCCUCACCCUCUGAUUACCAAUCUUCGUCCUCUUCAUCAACGGUGGAGAUCGCUCCUCUGCAUUGCCCGUCCGUUUGGGAGAGCAGUUUCUCCAAUCGGGUCGGUAAAUCCGUGCCGGGUCUGGUCCUGGCCAUAUAAACAAAAAGAAAAAUCAAACCCCGCCACAAAAUCACACUCUCGAACGAACCUUCCGAUCAGCUACGGAUAAUAUAUAAAAUAAAUAAAUAAAAAAAGGAGUGUGUACGUGUCAGCUCCUGGUUGGUUCGUAACUGAUGGGCUGAGAAUUUUAAAAGACGAGAGAUGUGAGCCAUUAUAGUAAGGCGGUGUUUGGGUUUUAGGUUCUGUUUGGUUUCGCGUUUUAUUUAAUCCGUGUUUAUGUUUUUGUUUUUUUUUUUUUGUUUUCUAGUGUGGUUGGUGUUUGCCAGAGCAUGAUGGGGAUGAGUGGAACCAAGAUGGGGAUACCCAGUUGGCCAUUUCCUGAUGAGGAUGGAGCCACGUCAGCACAUAUAUUUGGAUGUUACUGGGGGAGCCACAAACUGGAACAUAUGAAGCACUUUUAAGAUCAGAAAACCUUCAACUUAUGGAUGAAGUUGCCCCUGGCUAUGACCCACUUAAAUUUUGGACAAAA